Molecule: ribosomal RNA, 497 nt
Filed under: uncultured bacterium
Lineage: Bacteria
Description: partial 16S ribosomal RNA
Rfam family: Bacterial small subunit ribosomal RNA
Source: RNAcentral
GAUGAACGCUGGCGGCGUGCCUAAUACAUGCAAGUCGAGCGAACGGACGAGAAGCUUGCUUCUCUGAUGUUAGCGGCGGACGGGUGAGUGACACGUGGAUAACCUACCUAUAAGACUGGGAUAACUUCGGGAAACCGGAGCUAAUACCGGAUAAUAUUUUGAACCGCAUGGUUCAAAAGUGAAAGACGGUAUUGGUGUCACUUAUAGAUGGAUCCGCGCUGCAUUAGCUAGUUGGUAAGGUAACGGCUUACCAAGGCAACGAUGCAUAGCCGACCUGAGAGGGUGAUCGGCCACACUGGAACUGAGACACGGUCCAGACUCCUACGGGAGGCAGCAGUAGGGAAUCUUCCGCAAUGGGCGAAAGCCUGACGGAGCAACGCCGCGUGAGUGAUGAAGGUCUUCGGAUCGUAAAACUCUGUUAUUAGGGAAGAACAUAUGUGUAAGUAACUGUGCACAUCUUGACGGUACCUAAUCAGAAAGCCACGGCUAACUACGUG